UCUAAGGUUUUUUUGAAAACCAUCAAUCGAUGGAUUAAAAUCCUU
Xenopus laevis (African clawed frog) is the source of this 45-nucleotide non-coding RNA. NCBI's taxonomy places the organism in Eukaryota, Metazoa, Chordata, Amphibia, Anura, Pipidae. The record is from Rfam.